RNAcentral lists this transfer-messenger RNA (203 nucleotides) under Salmonella enterica subsp. enterica serovar Schwarzengrund. RNAcentral describes it as "partial transfer-messenger RNA". It matches the Rfam family "transfer-messenger RNA", at positions 164 to 374 of the family's 374-position model. From Rfam's summary of the family: Bacterial tmRNA, also known as 10Sa RNA or SsrA, is named for its dual tRNA and mRNA-like properties. Its role is to liberate the mRNA from a stalled ribosome. To accomplish this part of the tmRNA is used as a reading frame that ends in a translation stop signal. The record is from RNAcentral. Lineage: Bacteria; Pseudomonadati; Pseudomonadota; Gammaproteobacteria; Enterobacterales; Enterobacteriaceae.
CUUAGGGCGGGGUUCAAGAGAGGUCAAACCCAAAAGGGAUCGCGCGGAUGCCCUGCCUGGGGUUGAAGCGUUAAAACGAACCAGGCUAGUCUGAUAGUGGCGUGUCCGUCCGCGGGUGCCAGGCGAAUGUAAAGACAGUCUAAGCAUGUAGUACCGAGGAGAUAGGAAUUUCGGACGCGGGUUCAACUCCCGCCAGCCCACCA